Molecule: small RNA, 134 nt
Filed under: Salmonella enterica subsp. enterica serovar Gallinarum
Lineage: Bacteria; Pseudomonadati; Pseudomonadota; Gammaproteobacteria; Enterobacterales; Enterobacteriaceae
Also listed under: 750 other names
Description: RtT sRNA
Rfam family: RtT RNA
About the family: This family represents a bacterial cis-regulatory element known as RtT RNA.
Source: RNAcentral
UGUAUCUGAAGUCUGACGAGGAUGAGAACCUCCGGGGGCAAGAGGUUCGACUCGAGCGAAGCGAGAGAACGUUGCGUCAGCAACGGCCCGCAGGGCGAGCCACGCAGUGGCGAGUCAUCCUCUAUCACCGACCA